Molecule: ribosomal RNA, 708 nt
Filed under: Mycetocola sp.
Lineage: Bacteria; Bacillati; Actinomycetota; Actinomycetes; Micrococcales; Microbacteriaceae
Description: bacterial SSU rRNA
Rfam family: Bacterial small subunit ribosomal RNA
Source: RNAcentral
CAAGUCGAACGAUGAUCCAGAGCUUGCUCUGGGGAUUAGUGGCGAACGGGUGAGUAACACGUGAGUAACCUGCCCUUGACUCUGGGAUAAGCGUUGGAAACGACGUCUAAUACCGGAUACGACCAGCCCCGGCAUCGGGUGUUGGUGGAAAGAAUUUUGGUCAAGGAUGGACUCGCGGCCUAUCAGGUAGUUGGUGAGGUAAUGGCUCACCAAGCCUACGACGGGUAGCCGGCCUGAGAGGGUGACCGGCCACACUGGGACUGAGACACGGCCCAGACUCCUACGGGAGGCAGCAGUGGGGAAUAUUGCACAAUGGGCGAAAGCCUGAUGCAGCAACGCCGCGUGAGGGACGACGGCCUUCGGGUUGUAAACCUCUUUUAGCAGGGAAGAAGCGAAAGUGACGGUACCUGCAGAAAAAGCACCGGCUAACUACGUGCCAGCAGCCGCGGUAAUACGUAGGGUGCAAGCGUUGUCCGGAAUUAUUGGGCGUAAAGAGCUCGUAGGCGGUUUGUCGCGUCUGCUGUGAAAACCCGAGGCUCAACCUCGGGCCUGCAGUGGGUACGGGCAGACUAGAGUGCGGUAGGGGAGAUUGGAAUUCCUGGUGUAGCGGUGGAAUGCGCAGAUAUCAGGAGGAACACCGAUGGCGAAGGCAGAUCUCUGGGCCGUAACUGACGCUGAGGAGCGAAAGGGUGGGGAGCAAACAGGCUU